Molecule: RNA transcript, 3692 nt
Organism: Cyclopterus lumpus (lumpfish)
Lineage: Eukaryota; Metazoa; Chordata; Actinopteri; Perciformes; Cyclopteridae
Gene name: ETS domain-containing protein Elk-3-like
Exons: 6
Source: RefSeq, a predicted model, not a curated record
GUGUGUGUGUUUGUGUGUGUGUGUGUGUGUGUGUGUGUGUGUGUGUGUGUGCGUGUGUGUGUGUGUGUGUGUGUGUGUGUUUGAGAGAGAAAGAGGGGGUCUUCAUCUAUUUGGGUGCAUGAGUUAAGGUCUGUGAGCAUGUCAAAAAAGUGUGUUUAUGGGAAAUAUAGAUCUCUCUCUCUCUCUCUCUCUCUUGUCUCGCUCUCUCUCGCUCUCUCUGUGCCUGUGUGUGUGUGCGUGUGUUUACACAGACGGGAAUACUACGCCAGAGGAAGUGCGCCGGUUCUCCGUCUGCGCGUCCCGACUUCCUGCUCUGAGGCAGUGUAGAGAAAAGCUGCAGAUCCGCUUUCAGACAGCAGCGGCAUGGAGCCCCGACACAACACACACACACCGCUCUAAGACGCAAACACACUCCUAACACACGGCUAGAUUUGGAGGAGCAGCGGCCGUCCACAGCAGGAUCGCCUGUGUCUCUGGUGUCAUCCCGUCAUGGAGAGUUCCAUCACACUCUGGCAGUUCCUGCUGCAGCUGCUGAUCGACCAAAGCCACAAACAUCUCAUCUGCUGGACGUCCAACGACGGCGAGUUCAAGCUGCUAAAGUCAGAGGAUGUGGCCAAGCUGUGGGGGCUGCGCAAGAACAAGACCAACAUGAACUACGACAAGCUGAGCAGAGCCCUGCGCUACUACUACGACAAAAACAUCAUCAAGAAGGUGAUCGGCCAGAAGUUCGUCUACAAGUUUGUGUCGUUCCCUGAGAUUCUGAAGAUGGACCCUGCGGUGGUGGAGUCGGGCCGCAGCAGUGAGGAAAGUGGGGGCGCUGCUUCAGAGCCCGAGGCCGACGACGAGGACGGGGCCGGGAGAAACCAAUACCUCCACUCCAGCCUGUACUCCUCUUUCACCGUCAGCUCCCUGCAGCACCCCGUGGAACCGCAUCGGCCGAUCAAGGCGGAGCCCCGAUCCGAUCACUACGGCGACAGCUCCUCCGUCAUCCGAUUUGUGACCAACCGUGGCCACUCCUCCCUGCCGCCCACCCCACCCCCAUCCUCGGCCGAGGCCUCCCAUUCCUCCAGACCGUCUCCGGGGCAGGCCCGCUCUUCUUCCUGCUCCUCCACUCCGCCGCCAAGCACUGCCCACGCCCUUUGGAGAGGACGGGGCCAGAGCGCAGAGACUAACGAGUUAGAGCAGAGCGCCCAGCCUCUGAACCUCUCAUCUGGUCAGAGGGAGAGAGAGAGGUCACAGGCGAUGCCAGAGGGCAGGAGAUUUGCCAAUUGCGGGCUUUUGAAAAGCAGGAAACCCAAAGGUUUGGAAAUCUCCGCCUCCUCGCUCCUCCUGACAGGAAGCGACCUUGUCUCCAUUGCUCUCAACAGCCCGGCGCUGCCUUCGGGCUCCCUGACCCCUGCCUUCCUCACCACACAGACUCCGUCUGGUCUGCUGCUCACUCCCAGUCCUCUCCUCUCCAAUAUCCAUUUCUGGUCCAGCCUGAGUCCAGUGGGACCCCUCAGCCCUGCACAACUGCAGAGCCAUGCCCCCCUCUUUCAGGGUUUCAAAAUAAGCCACAGAUGUUUCCGUUCUGGCUUGGACAAGAAGAGGGGGCAACUUCCUGUUAGUUGAGGGGAGCGGGAGAGGGCUGGUUGGUCAGGAGCCCCUCCCAGCCUACGACUCCAACUGUGAACAAACUGUUAGCAUCUAAUGAGCGGUGAUUUAGUCCUUGCAACGGGGGAUGGUCCUCACAACGCUGGCGGACUACUUAAGUCCCCACGAGGUAAUAUAAUUCCCCACUCUGCUGAAUGGACACCUGCCUUUACACAGCAUGGAUGCUGCCUCUCAUCUGCUGCUCUCCUCCAGCUCCCACAAGUGCUGAUGCCAGCCCGGGCUCCCAGAGCAAACUGGGCCAAACCGAGCCAGGCCGGGCCAGGUCGGCGCAGAGCAGAUCAGCCUUAGACUCUGACGAUGAACCACACAGGAGUCGGACUUCCAUUCAGGCUUUGAUGUGAAACCUGUUCCUUUGCAUUUCUCAUAUGAAGAAACAGGAGCUUCACUGAAGCUUUGCUCUCUGAGAGGAGUAACCGACCGCAUUAGACAUUUCUUUGUGUUUACUACAGUUCAACUCCUCAUGUUCCUCACGCAGGUGAUUGGUGCUUCUUUUCAGGCAAAAAGAAAUUGACUGGAGGUCAGUCCUCGUUACGUUUCUCAUCUCAUUUUCUAUCUCAUGUCAUUUCACUCGUUUUAAACUCCAGUGUUACAGACUGUUUGCAAUGUCAUGAAUGUUAUCCCUAUUCCCUAUCCCCCCCCUCCACCUCGUCCGACGGAUGUGUCACACCACUGACUCAAACAAUGAUCUGGGUAAAUCUGUGUCAGGAAUUAUGGGACAACAAUAUAGACUAGAAAGACAUAUUGGCUUCCCUGCCGAGAAGAUUGAUACCACUCGUGUUUGUAAGCUUGAUAUGAAGCUACAGCCAGACAACAGUUAGCUUAGCUUAGCAUAAAGACCGCUGACGUGAAAAAAACGUUUGCCUUCGAAAGGUGACAAAAUCUGACUAGCGGCUAAAAGCUUACUAGUUAACACAUUAAACAUACAAAAAUGAUAAAACAUAAUAUAUACAAACUUUUCCACAAAACCCCAAUGAGUCGUUUUUUUGUAAUCUGUAUUAUGUCCAAAUUAAACACACAACUAUAUGAUCUUUAACAGCAGGCUUUACAGGUAUAGGCUGCCUUUGUGAACUUUGAGCAGAGCCAGUCUGUCUGUUUAAAGUAUGGAUGCUAAGCUACAUAUUUAGCUGACAAGCUGUCAUCAAUCUUCUCAUUUUACUUUCGACAAGAAUGCGUAUUUACCCAAAAUGCGGAGGCUUCCUUUAAAUUGAACAAAUCUUAGAAUGUGACCAGUUUGGGAUGUUGCAACAGUCAACCAAUAGCUUUGUCUCAUGUAUCAACCUUUUGGGGAUGCGAGUACAAGAAGUGACACAGCGCAUUAGGAUCAUUUUCACAUUUUCAUUAACAACUUGAUAAAGAUUUGUCCAGAUGUUGAUUGUUGGAGUGUGGCCACGAGAUGAAUCCCUCACCGACUCCUAGCAGAGCACCUGCUAGCCAGCACGCUGCAACGCUGUAGAAGUCCCUUCAUUGCUUUGACUUGACGCUGUGAACUUGUUUUUUAUCUGUAGUGUCACGCGUUUCUUUUCUUUUUAAAUGCACUGUACUUUUUAGCCUUGUACCAGCUGUGCCUUCAAUAUUGUAAGACUUGUGUAAAUGUAUUAAGCUUUAAAACCAGGUUUUAAUAGAUAUUCCAGGUCAAAAUUGCACAAAAGCUUUUAUUUUGUAAAAAUGUCUCCUGGUUAUUUUUCUAAAAAAAAAAUUAAUGGAAAUGUAUUCUCAGUGAUUUUGCUUGUGUUUUGUGGAGAGAAAUGCUACUGUUUUUUUUUUUUGGAAUAAAAUUAAUUCAUUUUCAGAAUUACUAUAUGAAUUGUAGUUGGAAGCAACACACUCUUUCACCACUCGAAGAACGACUGCUGCACAGGCUGUUUAUGAAACAGAUUAAAUUUACUUUCAAUGGUUAUGAGAAAUAAAUAGUUCCAGUAAAAAGAGUCACACACCAACUGUUCACCGGCGGCUCUGUGUUUCAUUGAGGUCGAAUUCACAACACAGCAGGCCUUCCAUGCAUCAGGCACACGCUCGUUCACAUAAAUUCAGGUCAUUCA